Molecule: long non-coding RNA, 2520 nt
Filed under: Dicentrarchus labrax (European seabass)
Lineage: Eukaryota; Metazoa; Chordata; Actinopteri; Moronidae
Description: lncRNA (ENSDLAG00005029280.1)
Source: RNAcentral
AACACCUUGAACGUAUCUAUCUGGAUCCAGAGCUUGUACAAACAUGGUGGUUCAACAUGGCGGACUCCGGAUGUUUCCAGAGGGUCAGACAGACUGGUGGAGUCCCAGUGGCUGCAGUGGGGGUGUCACUGGGGACUCUGGUGUAUUUUGAGGGACAGCACAUUACAGGAGCUGCGGGGAGCUGUCUGCUGGUCCGCCUGUGAGCCCAGCUGUUGGAGCCGGCGGAGGGGCGGAGCGGGAGGCGAGGGCAGAGGAGCAGCGUGGCAUCACAACGCGACAUCUGCCGGUCCUGGGGGGUCGGACGGCCCACGGCUGGGCCCCUGGCUGGCUCGCCAACAUGCUCCGUGUUGUCUGACAGCAUUUAGCUCGGUGUUAACACGCAGCUGGAAGCAGGGGGAGGACGGGGGAGGCACUCAGGGGGAGUUAGAGAAAGUGUGAACAGGCCGGAGGUGAAAUGUGACAUGUUGUGUUUCUACAGUAAUUUAUAUAGAAAGAAAAAAUCACCUUCAACUGCAGUUUAUUUAUUAUUUAUCAUUUAUUUAUUUAUUGAGGAUUGAAUCAGUUUGUAGAAAGAAAGAAACAGAUUGACUUUAUUUGUUAUUUAAAUAUUAAUGUUAUAAAUAAAAGUGACUCUAAGUUAUUAUUUAUAAUAUAGCAUAAAUAUUGAGCUCAUUUUAGACCCAUCAAUAAUAAUACAUCGUCCUUUAUUAUUGAUUAUAUUUCAUAUGAUCAUAAUCUUAAAUCGGUAAAUGAAUUGUACUUAAGUAAAAGUACUUAGUUACUUUCCAGCACUGUUUAUUGUUUCCAAACAAACCCGAUCAAUACUUUCUGUUUGCUCCAAUCACUGCCAGUGCUGAUCAUCAAUUAUUCAUCCAAUCACACACACACACACACACACACACACACACACACACCUUCUCUGUCGAUCAAUAUCUGAUCGUUCAGACGAGGCCUCGUGAGAUUUCCUGACAUACAAAACCAUCUGUUUAUUAUUAUUAUUAUUAUUAUUAUUAUUAUUAUUAUUAUUACUGUUAUUGUUGUUAUUGUUGUUGUACAUAAAUAAGAGUAAAUAUAUCACAGUAUAGAAUAAAUACUACAUUACUGGUACAAACACAUUAAUAAGUAAACAGGUUCUGGCUGUAAAAUCAUAAAUAAAAAUGAAAACAGACAUUUUAUAAACUGCAGAUUAAAUGAACAACCCUAACUCUUCCUCUCAGCUCCGUCAUUAAAUCACUGAAACCUGCAGUCAGCUUCUGUCUCUGUGUUUCUGUGGGCAGUGAUUGUUAAGGUGGAACUGCUUUAUUCAGUGAUUGUUAAGGUGUAACUGCUUUAUUCAGUGUGUUUAAGGUGGAACUGCUUUAUUCAGUGUGUUUAGUGGUUUUAAUCAGCGGGUCUGUUUGUGUUGGAGAGGAGGAGACCUCUGUGGAUCAUUGGGCUCCCGGUAGAAACCUCCUGAACCAUGAACACUGAAGGAAUCCUAACCAGGAGAAGCUGACUGCAAUGACGCCAAUGGUGGUGAAGACAACAACUCCCAUGAUCCCACGCUGCUUUACCACCUCAUUGUUUUAGUGGCAGAAAUGAUUGUAGGUUUUAAUAAAAUGCAGUUUUUGUCUCUUCAGACGUAGAAGUAGAUAUUUGGAGUCAGAUGAUCUUCGUCCUCAUCAACCUCACUGUGGUCCUCACACUGAUACACACUCCACAGGGAGUUUGUUGCUGAAAGAUCAAACGAGAAGAAACUCUGAACACAAUGAAUUCCUCAAAGACGCCCCAGGAAAAUGUAAAUUAUAUAAAAUAUAUAUAAAUAUAAAAUAUUGGUAAUCCACUUAACUGCUGCUGUUAGCUGCACAGCCUCCAGCUGCUGGAGCUCAACAUGCAGAUUAAUGCUGCACACUGUGUGAAAGGAUCUGCUGUCUGCUGGGAAAGUCUGUUUCUAUUAGAGUCCAAACUACAGUAAAUACAGUAAACUUUAUCUCAUAUGUUUUCUAAUGAUGCCAAACUGCCUCAUCUCGGCUCUCAUUUUAACCUUUAAUAUGAAACAUGACCCGACCAGCAGUCAGCAGCCUCCACUGUCAGACCCAGUGACCGAAUAUAAACAAUUCACUUCAGUUUCAUCUCUGCUGGACACAAAUUACAGGUUGUAAGAUUACAAAUGUGAAAAAUAUGUUGCAUAUAAUUUUCCUAAUAGUCAGUGAAACAGGAGGGUACGAAGGAGGGAGAUAAAUGAGGUAGAAAUUAAUGUUAUAUUAUUAUAUUUAUAUGAUUCACAACAAAUGUUGUUUAAUAAAUGUUCCUGAUUUAGAUUGGAUCAUUAUUGGUAAAGGAGCUCUAGUGGAACCUUUCAGACUCUAUGGAUUAUAGACUGUUGGUUUAUGCUCAGUUAUACAGCCGUUGGCACUAAUCUAUGUUUCUACAUUAGUUUAUUAUUUAUUCCUGUUGUUUGAUGUUUGCUGCAGUGUUACUGGUGGAACAGUUAUGUUUGUCUUUUCUUGUUGUUUGGAUGUGAGAGACCCUGAGGAGGUG